AUCCAACUGAUGAGUUUCAAAUGGGACGAAACACGUAUCUUAGAU
This is a non-coding RNA of Schistosoma haematobium, 45 nucleotides long. NCBI's taxonomy places the organism in Eukaryota, Metazoa, Platyhelminthes, Trematoda, Strigeidida, Schistosomatidae. The record is from Rfam.